Acanthosepion pharaonis is the source of this 102-nucleotide non-coding RNA. The record is from the annotation of a GenBank genome assembly. Lineage: Eukaryota; Metazoa; Mollusca; Cephalopoda; Sepiida; Sepiidae.
AUAUCACGUUGAAACACCGGUUCUCGUCCGAUUACCGAAGUUAAGCAAUGUUGAGCGUGGUCAGUACCUAGAUGAUACCUUCAGAAUGCCAGGUGCUGUAAG